Molecule: small RNA, 121 nt
Filed under: Marmota monax (woodchuck)
Lineage: Eukaryota; Metazoa; Chordata; Mammalia; Rodentia; Sciuridae
Source: RNAcentral
ACUGGGUGUGGUGGUGCACACCUGUAAUCCCUCAGGAGGCUGAGGCAGGAGGAUUGUGGGUUCAAAGUAAGCCUCAGCCACUCAGCAAGGCCUGAAGCAACUCAGCGAGACCCUGUCUCUA